AUGGUCAAUUGAAUUUUAUAAUUGAUCUGGCCUGCCCACUGAUAUUGAAGGGCUGCAGUAUUUUGACUGUACAAAGGUAGCAUAAUCAUUAGCCUUUUAAUUAAAGGCUGGUAUGAAGGGUUUGACGAGAAAAUAACUGUCUCUAAUAUAUAAAUUAAAUUUUAUUUUUCUGUUAAAAAGCAGAAGUAUCUAAGAGGGACAAGAAGACCCUUUCAAACUUAAUUUUUAUUAUAUUUUUAUUAGAUUAAAAUUAAUUAAUUAUAUAAAUUAAAAUUUUACUGGGGCGGUAAGUAUCUUUUAACGAUACUAUAUUUUACUUGUUUAAUAAAUAUCUAAAAUAAUAUCCUAUUAGUUAGAAUAAGAACAAGUUACUGAAGGGAUAACAGCGUAAUGGUUUUUGAGAGUUCCUAUUGACAAAACUGCUUGCGA
RNAcentral lists this ribosomal RNA (429 nucleotides) under Nemasoma varicorne. RNAcentral describes it as "partial 16S ribosomal RNA". It matches the Rfam family "Bacterial large subunit ribosomal RNA", at positions 1829 to 2523 of the family's 2925-position model. Lineage: Eukaryota; Metazoa; Arthropoda; Diplopoda; Julida; Nemasomatidae. The record is from RNAcentral.